UAGAAUCAGUCUGCAAAUGUCCUCCAUAUGAAGCAGCACAAAGCUGAGACUGACUGGCAUGUGCAGAAGAUACAAAACAGUCUUGUGUGAAAUUGAUGUUAGUCAGAUUUGGAAUCAUCUUUCCUAAUAUAACAUUCCUAGAUAUAAGGGGCAUGAUGGGAGCUGUAGUCCAACAACAGCUGAGCAGCCUCAGGUGUUGUAGCCUUGCCUCAUAAGGAAAGUGCUCCAGGCCCCUAAACAUCUUAGCUGCCUUCUUCUGCAGCUUUUCCAGCUCUGCGAUAUCCUUCUUAAGAUAAGGAGUGUAAGAUUAUUUACAUCGGUGGAGAUUCAAAAAUGGCCCACUUGCACUCUGAUGUGUUACAAUCCACGCUACCACCUCAGGAUUCCUAUCAGCUGAUGCUGAUGCUUGUGUAGACCAGGCCUCAGUUCAAAGCUGUCACAGACAACAGAAAGACAAAUGUUUUAUAUAUUUGGGAGGUGUAAGUAUAUAAGAAACCUUUUUUCCUCCUAGCUUGUUUGAUCACAUUGCAUUGAAGAUAGAUUGUUAUAAUAAUAAAAACUUGGCAUGCUUGCACUUUCUUACAUGAACGAGGCAGAUUAACAAGAUAUUUUCUGCAAAACACUGUA
This is a long non-coding RNA of Hemicordylus capensis (graceful crag lizard), 627 nucleotides long. RefSeq lists it as uncharacterized. NCBI's taxonomy places the organism in Eukaryota, Metazoa, Chordata, Lepidosauria, Squamata, Cordylidae. The record is from RefSeq and is a predicted model, not a curated record. The transcript has 3 exons.